RNAcentral lists this long non-coding RNA (842 nucleotides) under Homo sapiens (human). RNAcentral's name for it is "HSALNT0052411". The record is from RNAcentral. Lineage: Eukaryota; Metazoa; Chordata; Mammalia; Primates; Hominidae.
UAACAAUGGUCAAAACAAACAAAACCCACAACCUUUCAGUGCUGCUAGAGCUGUCUGUCUGAUAUGACAGUCACCAGUCACAAACAUCUAAAUUUAAAUGUGCAGUAACUAAGAAAAAAUCUAAAAAUCCAUUUUUUUAUUUGGACUAGCUAUGUGUCACAUGUGGCCAGUGGCUGCCCUAUGGGACAGUGCGGAUAGCAUAUUGCCAUAAUUGCAGGAAGCUCUAUUGGACAUCACUGCUUGCAGGCUAGAAGCUGUCUUCGAGGAAUAAGGAGUCUUAUUGUGAAGAUAUGAUGCUCAGAAAUGGGACAGCCAUUUUACAGCUGAGAAAAGAAGACACCAACACCCUAAGAAUAGCUAAAUGAAGAGUUAGAAAGAGCCUGGGUCCUUGGUGACAUCACUGAGACUUUACAACCAAAUGCCCACUUUUGGACUCAUGUUUUGUGAGAUAAUUAAAUAUCCUUUUGUUUAAGUCCCUGUUCUGUUACUUGCAACUGAAAUCAUUCCUAAUUGGCAAUAGGAACAGCAGAGAGUUUGAGAAAGAAAUAGAGAUGGGAGAUUCAGCUAUUCCAUGUAUAGAAAAGUGAGUAGGAUAGUCAAAACUCAGAACCAACCCAGUAAUCUUUAGUGAUACUACAGAUUUGAUUAAACCACUUAUUUCAGAUCUGAAAGCAUUGCGUGUAUAUAUCUUUUCUCUUAAAAUAAAUUUAAUGGUCAGUAAGUCUCUAAUUUACUUCAUAUUUUACAGAUUAAAUCUGAGUCAUACUUGAGUUUUAGUCCUGGAUUUUAAAAACUGUUUAUCUAAAUCAGUGAUUAAAAAUGACAAGCUUUGCUACUUGCUU